RNAcentral lists this ribosomal RNA (412 nucleotides) under uncultured bacterium. RNAcentral describes it as "bacterial SSU rRNA". It matches the Rfam family "Bacterial small subunit ribosomal RNA", at positions 128 to 518 of the family's 1533-position model. The record is from RNAcentral.
GCCCAUAAGAGGGGGAGUAACAUCCGGAAACGGGUGCUAAUACCGCAUAGUUUUCUUGAUCGCAUGAUUGAGAAAGGAAAGACGGCCUUUGUGCUGUCGCUUAUGGAUGGACCCGCGGCGUAUUAGUUAGUUGGUGAGGUAACGGCUCACCAAGACGAUGAUACGUAGCCGACCUGAGAGGGUGAUCGGCCACAUUGGGACUGAGACACGGCCCAAACUCCUACGGGAGGCAGCAGUAGGGAAUCUUCCGCAAUGGACGAAAGUCUGACGGAGCAACGCCGCGUGAGUGAAGAAGGUUUUUUCCGGGAUCGUAAAAACUCUGUUGUCAGAGAAGAACAAGUUGGAGAGUAACUGCUCCAGCCUUGACGGUAUCUGACCAGAAAGCCACGGCUAACUACGUGCCAGCAGCAGC